UCGAACGCGAAAGUGGAGCAAUCCAUAAGUAGAGUGGCAAACGGGUGAGUAACGCGUGGGCGACCUGCCUUCGAAUGGGGAAUAACUAAUCGAAAGAUUAGCUAAUACCGCAUACGACCUACGGGUGAAAGCAGGGGAUCUUCGGACCUUGCGUUAUUAGAGCGGCCGAUAUCUGAUUAGGUAGUUGGUAGGGUAAAGGCCUACCAAGCCGACGAUCAGUAGCUGGUCUGAGAGGACGAUCAGCCACACUGGAACUGAGACACGGUCCAGACUCC
This 275-nucleotide ribosomal RNA is filed under the name unidentified marine bacterioplankton. RNAcentral's name for it is "partial 16S ribosomal RNA". It matches the Rfam family "Bacterial small subunit ribosomal RNA", at positions 62 to 339 of the family's 1533-position model. The record is from RNAcentral.